Molecule: ribosomal RNA, 253 nt
Filed under: uncultured bacterium
Lineage: Bacteria
Description: partial 16S ribosomal RNA
Rfam family: Bacterial small subunit ribosomal RNA
Source: RNAcentral
UACGUAGGGAGCAAGCGUUGUCCGGAUUUACUGGGUGUAAAGGGUGCGUAGGCGGCUUUGCAAGUCAGAAGUGAAAUCCAUGGGCUUAACCCAUGAACUGCUUUUGAAACUGCGGAGCUUGAGUGGAGUAGAGGUAGGCGGAAUUCCCGGUGUAGCGGUGAAAUGCGUAGAGAUCGGGAGGAACACCAGUAGCGAAGGCGGCCUGCUGGGCUCUAACUGACGCUGAGGCACGAAAGCGUGGGUAGCAAACAGG